GGCUUCUCUAGAAGGGCUGUGUCAGGGAUAUGUUUCACUUCCUGGUUUUUAAAGUAAUAGAGUAUUUCUUCUCCUCUUAAACAUGCUGAUGUUUGUGCCACAUCCUCUGAGUACCCUCUGUAGGUGAAGACAGAUUACAGAGCACAGACAAUCAUUUUAAAUCUCUCCUUAACCAUACAAGAAGAAGCAGGAGAUAUGAGGGGAGCAGAACACAACCUUCAGAUACAGGUCUCCAUGGGAGCCAUAUGAAGACUCAAGGUUCUACAAGAAAGCAAGCUGAGCAAGCCAUGAAGAGCAAGGCCGUAUGCAGCACCCCUCCAUGGCCUCUGCAUCAGCUCCUACCUCCCUGCUUGAGUUUUGGCCCUGACUUUCUUCAAUAAUGAACAGCAAUGUGGAAGUGGAAGCCAAAUAAACCAUUUCCUCCCCAA
This 428-nucleotide long non-coding RNA is filed under the name Cricetulus griseus (Chinese hamster). RNAcentral describes it as "lncRNA (ENSCGRG00015037378.1)". The record is from RNAcentral. Lineage: Eukaryota; Metazoa; Chordata; Mammalia; Rodentia; Cricetidae.